AAGGUAGGGUUAAUGACUGGGGUGAAGUCGUAACAAGGUAGCCGUAUCGGAAGGUGCGGCUGGAUCACCUCCUUUCUAAGGAG
This 83-nucleotide ribosomal RNA is filed under the name Megasphaera micronuciformis. RNAcentral describes it as "partial 16S ribosomal RNA". It matches the Rfam family "Bacterial small subunit ribosomal RNA", at positions 1459 to 1533 of the family's 1533-position model. The record is from RNAcentral. Lineage: Bacteria; Bacillati; Bacillota; Negativicutes; Veillonellales; Veillonellaceae.